GAUGAACGCUGGCGGCGUGCCUAAUACAUGCAAGUCGAGCGAACAGACGAGGAGCUUGCUCCUCUGACGUUAGCGGCGGACGGGUGAGUAACACGUGGAUAACCUACCUAUAAGACUGGGAUAACUUCGGGAAACCGGAGCUAAUACCGGAUAAUAUAUUGAACCGCAUGGUUCAAUAGUGAAAGACGGUUUUGCUGUCACUUAUAGAUGGAUCCGCGCCGCAUUAGCUAGUUGGUAAGGUAACGGCUUACCAAGGCAACGAUGCGUAGCCGACCUGAGAGGGUGAUCAGCCACACUGGAACUGAGACACGGUCCAGACUCCUACGGGAGGCAGCAGUAGGGAAUAUUGCGCAAUGGGCGAAAGCCUGAUGGAGCAACGCCGCGUGAGUGAUGAAGGUCUUCGGAUCGUAAAACUCUGUUAUUAGGGAAGAACAAAUGUGUAAGUAACUAUGCACGUCUUGACGGUACCUAAUCAGAAAGCCACGGCUAACUACGUG
Molecule: ribosomal RNA, 497 nt
Filed under: uncultured bacterium
Lineage: Bacteria
Description: partial 16S ribosomal RNA
Rfam family: Bacterial small subunit ribosomal RNA
Source: RNAcentral